UAGAAGUACUCAUGUUGGGUGAUCCAUGUUGGGUGAUCGGAGGACGCAAGUAUCUGUAUGUAAUCUUUGUUGAGAAAAAACGAAUGGUACGCCAGACUGAUGUUGCAGGCUUGUACCAUGCCUACCCUAAUGAAAUAGAGCAGGGCUAGUAUUCACCUGGAGUUUUUUGGCUUUUUCAUCUCUGUUACACACUAGUUUGACGUUGCAUAUUUUAAUGAAACCCAGUUCUUUGCACACAGUAAUACCAUGUGAGAUGAGAUAGCUCUAAGUUCCGCUUCAUUAUUAGUCCCAAAACCAAAUUUUACUGAAAAAGCAACUUGGACAACACCUAAGCGAUCACGAAUCAGCCCCCCUCCUCCACUAGGCCCGGGAUUUCCCCUGCAACUUCCAUCAACGUUGAGUUUAACCCAACCCUCCGGCGGUCGCUGCCAAUAAAUAAUGCGAGGGCUCCUUUCAGAGGAAAUUUUAAAAGGCACUUCCAUAGCUUGAAGUAGCUCUUGGCCCGUUGUCGACAGCCUACACUUCUCCGAAAGGGUCUCUGCCAUCCUCCGAAGCCAGUCCUUUAUUGAGAGCCAAACAGCUUCAACUGAAUCAUAGUAUCCUUCCAUCCUAGCUCUGCAGUGCCGUGUCCAUAAUCUCCAGGACAACCGAGAGUGAGCUUCUGUAUGUAAGCUGUAGCAGAAUGCCAAAAUGAAGUUUCACCAUUUAUUAGAUAUUGC
Molecule: long non-coding RNA, 719 nt
Organism: Juglans regia (Persian walnut)
Lineage: Eukaryota; Viridiplantae; Streptophyta; Magnoliopsida; Fagales; Juglandaceae
Exons: 3
Source: RefSeq, a predicted model, not a curated record